RNAcentral lists this ribosomal RNA (484 nucleotides) under uncultured bacterium. RNAcentral describes it as "partial 16S ribosomal RNA". It matches the Rfam family "Bacterial small subunit ribosomal RNA", at positions 28 to 523 of the family's 1533-position model. The record is from RNAcentral.
GACGAACGCUGGCGGCGUGCCUAACACAUGCAAGUCGAGCGGAGAUAUAGGAGCUUGCUUUUAUAUCUUAGCGGCGGACGGGUGAGUAACGCGUGGGUAACCUGCCUUACACAGGGGGAUAACACAGGGAAACUUGUGCUAAUACCGCAUAAGACGACGACAUGGCAUCAUGAUGUAGUCAAAGGAGAAAUCCGGUGUAAGAUGGACCCGCGUCCGAUUAGCUAGUUGGUGAGGUAACGGCUCACCAAGGCGACGAUCGGUAGCCGAACUGAGAGGUUGAUCGGCCACAUUGGGACUGAGACACGGCCCAGACUCCUACGGGAGGCAGCAGUGGGGAAUAUUGCGCAAUGGGGGAAACCCUGACGCAGCAACGCCGCGUGAAGGAUGAAGGUUUUCGGAUUGUAAACUUCUUUAGUCGGGGACGAAAAAAUGACGGUACCCGAAGAAUAAGCCACGGCUAACUACGUGCCAGCAGCCGCAGUAA